CAAUAGCGUAUAUUAAAGUUGUUGCGGUUAAAAAGCUCGUAGUUGGAUCUCGGCAGGCAGGGGGUGGUUCGCUCUUAGCGCUACUGCCCCAUUUGCCUGUGUGAUUGGCGGAGGUUUCGGGGUGCUCUUCGUUGAGUGACCCGGGGCGCCGUCAGGUUUACUUUGAAAAAAUUAGAGUGCUCAAAGCAGGCUUUUCACGCUUGAAUAUUCGUGCAUGGAAUAAUGGAAUAGGAACUCGUUUCUAUUUUGUUGGUUUUCGGAAAUCGAGUUAAUGAUUAAUAGGGACAAUUGGGGGCAUUAGUAUUCAGACGACAGAGGUGAAAUUCUUGGACCGUCUGAAGACUAACUACUGCGAAAGCAUUUGCCAAGAGUGUUUUCAUUAG
Molecule: ribosomal RNA, 383 nt
Filed under: uncultured eukaryote
Lineage: Eukaryota
Description: partial 18S ribosomal RNA
Rfam family: Eukaryotic small subunit ribosomal RNA
Source: RNAcentral